This 70-nucleotide long non-coding RNA is filed under the name Capra hircus (goat). RNAcentral describes it as "lncRNA (ENSCHIG00010020265.1)". The record is from RNAcentral. Lineage: Eukaryota; Metazoa; Chordata; Mammalia; Artiodactyla; Bovidae.
UGUAAUCCAACUCAGUGCCCUAGAGGUGGUGUCACCUGGGACUUGAUGCCAACCUCUUGGUGCUCAGCAG